This 673-nucleotide unclassified non-coding RNA is filed under the name Homo sapiens (human). Its description in RNAcentral is "ribonuclease P subunit p21 (ENSG00000242726.6)". The record is from RNAcentral. Lineage: Eukaryota; Metazoa; Chordata; Mammalia; Primates; Hominidae.
AGGGGUGGGGCUGCGGGAGGCCCUGGAGCGCGGCGGUGAUGGCGGGGCCGGUGAAGGACCGCGAGGCCUUCCAGAGGCUCAACUUCCUGUACCAGGACCCCGAGAACCAGGCGCUGGCGAGGUUUUACUGCUACACUGAGAGGACCAUUGCGAAGCGGCUCGUCUUGCGGCGGGAUCCCUCGGUGAAGAGGACUCUCUGUCGAGGCUGCUCUUCCCUCCUCGUCCCGGGCCUCACCUGCACCCACCGCCAGAGACGUGAGUGCUCCAACGGAGGUGGAAGACUGCGGAGCAUUGGGGGCGCGGAGGGGGGCGGGGUGGGGGGCGGGCACUGGAGGCCAACAGCGCCUUUCUCACUGUAGAUGGAUGUUGGGUGUGGGAUUCGCAGGAGUCUUCCUUCUUCGGGUUUGGAUUAAGUUCCUAACGCCACUUGCACAAACUAGGGUUUGGGCUCGGCUGUUUUUUUUUUUUUUCUUCCAGUGUGGGCAAUAAAUAAUAACUUUUAAGAGGCAACCCCACCCAUGCACAAUAAUAGAUGUUGUUCGGCUUUGUGGAGGACGAUUCCCAUCACCAUUCAUUUAUUAAGCAAAUACUUAUUUUCUAAAAUGUGUCAGGCUGCAGGGGACAGCGCUGGACCGUACAGACCUGCCUAACAUGCCAGCGCAGCCAACGCUUC